RNAcentral lists this unclassified non-coding RNA (409 nucleotides) under fungal sp. RNAcentral describes it as "partial internal transcribed spacer region". The stretch from base 1 to 46 matches the Rfam family "Eukaryotic small subunit ribosomal RNA", at positions 1786 to 1831 of the family's 1831-position model. Lineage: Eukaryota; Fungi. The record is from RNAcentral.
AAGUCAUAACAAGGUUUCCGUAGGUGAACCUGCGGAAGGAUCAUUAAUACGUUUCUAAACGAACGUUUUAAACUCCAAAAUUUUAAUAGUGGAAAUAUAACUUCCGGAUGCAUAUGUAGGGAGGGGAAGAUUAGACCUUAAAAAGUCUGGUUUUCUCCUUUUUGAAAAGGAAACUUCAUGCACUUUAUUGUGUGUGACACUUCAGAGUAGAGCAGUGAGGUGAAAACUUCGGUUUUGGUUUCUGAAAUACAUCUGUAUCCGGUUAUUUUCUGUUCUACAACCCCUUUUAUAAAACAAUAAACCCCAUGUACAACAACUUGAACUGAACAAAUUUUGUUUUCUCCUUUGUGAGGAAAUGAAGUAAAUCUGAACUUAAGAACAACUCUUAACAACGGAUAUCUUGGUUCUC